This 87-nucleotide transfer RNA is filed under the name Desulfovibrio sp. RNAcentral's name for it is "tRNA-Leu". It matches the Rfam family "tRNA". From Rfam's summary of the family: Transfer RNA (tRNA) molecules are approximately 80 nucleotides in length. Their secondary structure includes four short double-helical elements and three loops (D, anti-codon, and T loops). Further hydrogen bonds mediate the characteristic L-shaped molecular structure. tRNAs have two regions of fundamental functional importance: the anti-codon, which is responsible for specific mRNA codon recognition, and the 3' end, to which the tRNAs corresponding amino acid is attached (by aminoacyl-tRNA synthetases). tRNAs cope with the degeneracy of the genetic code in two manners: having more than one tRNA (with a specific anti-codon) for a particular amino acid; and 'wobble' base-pairing, i.e. permitting non-standard base-pairing at the 3rd anti-codon position. Lineage: Bacteria; Pseudomonadati; Thermodesulfobacteriota; Desulfovibrionia; Desulfovibrionales; Desulfovibrionaceae. The record is from RNAcentral.
GCCCGGAUGGUGGAACAGGUAGACACAAGGGACUUAAAAUCCCUCGGCCGAAAGGCCAUGCGGGUUCGAUUCCCGCUCCGGGCACCA